AUUGAACGCUGGCGGCAUGCCUUACACAUGCAAGUCGAACGGUAACAGGUUAAGCUGACGAGUGGCGAACGGGUGAGUAAUGUAUCGGAACGUGCCCAGUCGUGGGGGAUAACUGCUCGAAAGAGCAGCUAAUACCGCAUACGACCUGAGGGUGAAAGCGGGGGGUCGCAAGACCUCGCGCGAUUGGCGCGGCCGAUAUCCGAUUAGGUAGUUGGUGAGGUAAAGGCUCACCAAGCCGACGAUCUGUAGCUGGUCUGAGAGGACGACCAGCCACACUGGGACUGAGACACGGCCCAGACUCCUACGGGAGGCAGCAGUGGGGAAUUUUGGACAAUGGGCGCAAGCCUGAUCCAGCCAUGCCGCGUGCGGGAAGAAGGCCUUCGAGUUGUAAACCGCUUUUGUCAGGGAAGAAAAGGUUCUGGCUAAUACCUGGGACUCAUGACGGUACCUGAAGAAUAAGCACCGGCUAACUACGUG
This 477-nucleotide ribosomal RNA is filed under the name uncultured bacterium. RNAcentral's name for it is "partial 16S ribosomal RNA". It matches the Rfam family "Bacterial small subunit ribosomal RNA", at positions 30 to 507 of the family's 1533-position model. The record is from RNAcentral.